CCUACGGGAGGCAGCAGUGAGGAAUAUUGGUCAAUGGCCGGAAGUCUGAACCAGCCAUGCCGCGUGCAGGCAGACGGCUCUAUGAGUUGUAAACUUCUUUUGUCCAAGGGUAAACCUGAAUACGUGUAUUCAGCUGAGAGUACUCUACGAAAAAGGAUCGGCUAACUCCGUGCCAGCAACCGCGGUAAUACGGAGGAUCCAAGCGUUAUCCGGAUUUAUUGGGUUUAAAGGGUGCGUAGGCGGAUUGAUAAGUUAGAGGGGAAAUGUCCGAGCUUAACUCGGGAACUGCCGCUAAUACUGCGGAUCUAGAGAGUAGAUGCGGUAGGCGGAAUGUAUGGUGUAGCGGUGAAAUGCUUAGAGAUCAUACAGAACACCGAUUGCGAAGGCAGCUUACCAAUCUAUAUCUGACGUUGAGGCACGAAAGCGUGGGGAGCAAACAGGAUUAGAUACCCUGGUAGUC
This 460-nucleotide ribosomal RNA is filed under the name uncultured bacterium. RNAcentral describes it as "partial 16S ribosomal RNA". It matches the Rfam family "Bacterial small subunit ribosomal RNA", at positions 338 to 795 of the family's 1533-position model. The record is from RNAcentral.